GCGCCCGUGGCGGAAUGGUAGACGCGGCAGAUUUAGGAUCUGUUGUCGAAAGGCAUGGAGGUUCGACUCCUCCCGGGCGCA
Molecule: transfer RNA, 81 nt
Filed under: bacterium
Lineage: Bacteria
Description: tRNA-Leu
Rfam family: tRNA
About the family: Transfer RNA (tRNA) molecules are approximately 80 nucleotides in length. Their secondary structure includes four short double-helical elements and three loops (D, anti-codon, and T loops).
Source: RNAcentral